RNAcentral lists this ribosomal RNA (770 nucleotides) under Arthrobacter sp. RNAcentral describes it as "bacterial SSU rRNA". It matches the Rfam family "Bacterial small subunit ribosomal RNA", at positions 51 to 839 of the family's 1533-position model. Lineage: Bacteria; Bacillati; Actinomycetota; Actinomycetes; Micrococcales; Micrococcaceae. The record is from RNAcentral.
ACACAUGCAGUCGACGAUGAAGCCAGCUUGCUGGUGGAUUAGUGGCGAACGGGUGAGUAACACGUGAGUAACCUGCCCUUAACUCUGGGAUAAGCCUGGGAAACUGGGUCUAAUACCGGAUAUGACUCCUCAUCGCAUGGUGGGGGGUGGAAAGCUUUUGUGGUUUUGGAUGGACUCGCGGCCUAUCAGCUUGUUGGUGAGGUAAUGGCUCACCAAGGCGACGACGGGUAGCCGGCCUGAGAGGGUGACCGGCCACACUGGGACUGAGACACGGCCCAGACUCCUACGGGAGGCAGCAGUGGGGAAUAUUGCACAAUGGGCGGAAGCCUGAUGCAGCGACGCCGCGUGAGGGAUGACGGCCUUCGGGUUGUAAACCUCUUUCAGUAGGGAAGAAGCGAAAGUGACGGUACCUGCAGAAGAAGCGCCGGCUAACUACGUGCCAGCAGCCGCGGUAAUACGUAGGGCGCAAGCGUUAUCCGGAAUUAUUGGGCGUAAAGAGCUCGUAGGCGGUUUGUCGCGUCUGCCGUGAAAGUCCGGGGCUCAACUCCGGAUCUGCGGUGGGUACGGGCAGACUAGAGUGAUGUAGGGGGAGACUGUAAUUUCCUGGUGUAGCGGUGAAAUGCGCAGAUAUCAGAGGAACACCGAUGGCGAAGGCAGGUCUCUGGGCAUUAACUGACGCUGAGGAGCGAAGCAUGGGGGGAGCGAACAGGAUUAGAUACCCUGGUAGUCCAUGCCGUAAACGUGGCACUAGGUGUGGGGACAUUCACGUU